GAUCUUUGGACAGCUGGAAGCACCUUUGGAAGCAUCAAGGAAUAAUCAAGCCCUUCACGAAGACAAAAAUUGUGGUCUUUCCACAAUAGUCUCCUGCCGGAUUGCCUGGAGCAACGAAACCAAAACAAAACAAAAAAGCUAUGACAAUCAGCUUGAUCACAGGAAAUAUACUGAAGUGCUAUGGACUUCCUUCUUAUACAGCUUGAUUACUAGAUGAUUAUAUUAAACAGUGUAAGUUCAGCAGAAUUUAUACAGAUGUGUUUUGUACAGGAAGUUCCAUGUACAGAUAUUUAGCAUGGUUCAUAUUUUUCAGAAAGGAAGGUAUGCUGCCAUACAUAUCAUAUGUCCAGAUCCAAACACAGCAUAUUAGGUGUGAACAGGACUUAUUAGUCAUUGAGCUCUGAUUGUGUGAUCAUCACUGCUGAAACUGAGAAAAUCGGGAAGCUGAGCACAAAUCCAACAUGAGUAGCACUCCUGUUAAAAAAAUUCAUUGCUUGUUUUAUAGCCAAGGACUUCACCCCUGUGGUGUGAUCUCAAGGAAAGUACUAAUAAAGUGGCAUUGUUAUUCACUGA
Mauremys reevesii (Reeves's turtle) is the source of this 573-nucleotide long non-coding RNA. RefSeq lists it as uncharacterized. NCBI's taxonomy places the organism in Eukaryota, Metazoa, Chordata, Testudines, Geoemydidae. The record is from RefSeq and is a predicted model, not a curated record. The transcript has 2 exons.